UACGUAGGGUGCAAGCGUUAAUCGGAAUUACUGGGCGUAAAGCGUGCGCAGGCGGUUAUGUAAGACAGAUGUGAAAUCCCCGGGCUCAACCUGGGAACUGCAUUUGUGACUGCAUAGCUUGAGUGCGGCAGAGGGGGAUGGAAUUCCGCGUGUAGCAGUGAAAUGCGUAGAUAUGCGGAGGAACACCGAUGGCGAAGGCAGCCCCCUGGGCUAACACUGACGCUCAGGCACGAAAGCGUGGGGAGCAAACAGG
This 253-nucleotide ribosomal RNA is filed under the name uncultured bacterium. RNAcentral describes it as "partial 16S ribosomal RNA". It matches the Rfam family "Bacterial small subunit ribosomal RNA", at positions 524 to 776 of the family's 1533-position model. The record is from RNAcentral.